UGGGGAAUAUUGGACAAUGGGCGAAAGCCUGAUCCAGCCAUGCCGCGUGUGUGAAGAAGGUCUUCGGAUUGUAAAGCACUUUAAGUUGGGAGGAAGGGCAUUAACCUAAUACGUUAGUGUUUUGACGUUACCGACAGAAUAAGCACCGGCUAACUCUGUGCCAGCAGCCGCGGUAAUACAGAGGGUGCAAGCGUUAAUCGGCAUUACUGGGCGUAAAGCGCGCGUAGGAGGUUUGUUAAGUUGGAUGUGAAAUCCCCGGGCUCAACCUGGGAACUGCAUUCAAAACUGACUGACUAGAGUAUGGUAGAGGGUGGUGGAAUUUCCUGUGUAGCGGUGAAAUGCGUAGAUAUAGGAAGGAACACCAGUGGCGAAGGCGACCACCUGGACUAAUACUGACACUGAGGUGCGAAAGCGUGGGGAGCAAACA
This 427-nucleotide ribosomal RNA is filed under the name uncultured bacterium. Its description in RNAcentral is "partial 16S ribosomal RNA". It matches the Rfam family "Bacterial small subunit ribosomal RNA", at positions 355 to 774 of the family's 1533-position model. The record is from RNAcentral.